Molecule: ribosomal RNA, 472 nt
Filed under: uncultured bacterium
Lineage: Bacteria
Description: bacterial SSU rRNA
Rfam family: Bacterial small subunit ribosomal RNA
Source: RNAcentral
AAUGAACGUUGGCGGCGUGGAUUAGGCAUGCAAGUCGAGCGCUCAUAGCAAUAUGGGAGCGGCGAACGGCGUAGGAAUUCAUAGGAACGUACCCUCAGGUCGGGGAUAGCUACGGGAAACUGUAGGUAAUACCCGAUUAUCUCCGUGGAGCAAAGGUGUGAUUCCGCCUGAGGAGCGGCUUAUGCGAUAUUAGCUAGUUGGUGGGGUAAUGGCCUACCAAGGCAAAGAUGUCUAGGGGGUGUGAGAGCAUGGCCCCCACGACCGGAACUGAGACACUGUCCGGACACCUACGGGAGGCAGCAGUGAGGAAUAUUGCGCAAUGGAGGCAACUCUGACGCAGCCAUGCCGCGUGCAGGAAGAAGGCGCUACGCGUUGUAAACUGCUUUUACCCGGGAAGAAACCCCUCUACGUGUGGAGGGUUGACGGUACCGGAGGAAUAAGCACCGGCUAACUUCGUGCCAGCAGCCGCGGU